CUCUCUUUCCUUUCCUCUCCUCCAACCCCCGCGCUCUUCCCUGCUGCUCCGCCGCCGCCUCUUUCUCCGCAAAUACACUGCGUGCCGCCGCCAGUGCCCGUGCCCUCUUCAUCUCCCGUCCCGAGAUCCACCUCCUCCAGCCUCAUAUCCCCUGAUUUUCUCGAUUUGGAUCUCGGGAGCACACAGGAGGAAGUCCCCGAGCGGUGGCAGCGUCAGAUCCCUCCGUCUCGCGGGGCAGGGCCUCCCGUCCGCGCCACGAUGACGCUGGCAUGGAGGCUCGGGCCCGGGCAGCCACCGCGGUGUCGGGUGCGCCGGCGAGGUCUCUGGGGACCGCGCAGUAAGGGACUGGCGCGGCUUCUGAUCGUUGGUUCCGGCGAUGCCAAGCCGAAGAUCUGAGUCGCCGAGCCGCAAGUAGCAGCUGGACAUCCAUCCGCCGGCCCCGACCGCGAGCUCCGGCCGUCCACCGCCCCGAGCUCCAUCCGUCUGCUACCCCCUACCCCAUCCGUCUGCCCCGUAGUCGCAGGCGUGGAUAGCCCCAUCAGCCGCAACCUUCAGCAGCCACGCACAAACCUUCUGAAGAAAAAUUCUAGCUCUCAUCUCCACUCUCUCUCAUCCGCUAGGGAUGGAGGGGCUGCCGAAAUCCACCUCAAGGCAGAGGGGUAGGCAGAAGGAUGGCGAGCGUUCCACUCGAUGGCGAGCCAUGGGUGAUGGCGAUCGCAACGCAAAGUUUUCCGAUCUGCCCGUCUUCAAGGGCGUGGAGCGACGGAGGUUGUCUCCCUCCUUCCACACGGUCGCAACAUUGGGAGAGGAUUCAGCCCCCGUGUGGUUCUGCACCAAGUUUCUGUCAAGAAUGGAAUCUACGAGUUCUGGAACUGGUUUGAUGAUAGGACAUGCUGGAAGCAUUUGGUGGCAUGUUACUGAAAAAUGUGCCCGAAAUAUUUGAUCGGUCUACUAAGUUGGUAAACGCUCUGAACAUCCAAGUGUUGGUGGAGACCGUUUGCGUGUUACUGCUCCAAUUAUCUCAGCAAAUACUUCCUGGGCUACUUACCUCUUGACAAAGGAAGCAAAGGGCACUGGUGCUUGGAUGGAUGCCAGCAGCUAUUCUGGCAAUGGUAAAUUGCACUUGAUUUAUAGAUGUUUUCAUUUUCAUAUGCCACGGUCUAAGUGGAAAUAUAAAUACUUUUCGAUGAAGCUAGGGAUGCCAUUAAGUAGCUUUAGCUUUACCUAUCUUUGGGUGGGAACAUUACACUCUUCAACAACGAAAGAGAGGGCGAGAGGUGAUCCUUCUGCUCUUUACUUGUGAAUCUCUAUUUCUUACUAGCUCGGGGAACUUGCACCCAAUAAAUUAAUGGAUGAUCUUGCAAACUUCAUCAAGUAUAUUAGUAGUUAAACUGUGAAUUUGAAAACAAAAAAAUUGUACAUUUGUUCGUGUUAAAUUUAGAUGUGUUCUUGGGCAAUAAUUGAUGGUAGAUAAUACAUGAUGGGGGAGUGGCCUUCAUUGCUACAAUUACUUUUCCUAUCCCUCCUUAGUUUCUUGGAUGUAUAUUAGUUUUUGUUUGCCCCUUUAUUUUUAGGGGAAGUUUUCUUACUGCCACAGCUUGGUUGUUCUAACAUGACAAAAUGUUGGAUUUAUUAUCUUGCUAAAUACUGGAUACUAGCUCAUUUUACUUCAGCUCAUAAGGAAAGGGAUCUGUAUGCAAAGCGUGUCAUGGGACAGUAUGCUGGAAUAAACGCAUAUAGCCAGUUCAUGUUUACCCUUUUCUUUACACAUAUGAUUGGGACUAGCAAAUUCACAUAUACAAAUAUGUUUCUAGAGCAAGGAUGAGAAGCACUCCAUACACAACCACAAUUGAUGGGAUGACGGAACUUUAGGUUUUCACCAGAAUCAAGCAUCAGUUCAAUGGGAACUGGAAUGAUGAAAACACUUGUCGUGCCUCAGAGUGGCGCCGAAGAGAAGGAUGAGCAGUCAGUGGUGUCUUCGUCUUCGCCGAUUGUGCUGUGCGUAGAUGCGGAAGACCGGCAACCGACGGCAAUAUGUUCAUGUGGCUUCAAGCAUAGGUUAUUCAUGGAGAUAUGCCACAAUUGCCACCUGAGGCCAUUAUGAAUUGUGGUGGGAUGGCACAAACAAGAAGAGAUGGUAUCAGGUGACUUAGUGAUAGUUUUGCUUUGGGAGUAUUAAGAAGAGUGACACGUAUUGUGGUUAAAGCCCGCAAAGAUAUGUUAGCUUUUAUUUUGAAUUGAUGGUUGUGCUCUCGCAUCCACCUUGUAACACUGUAUAGACCUUCUGGUUUGCUCUGUUUGCUAUGCUAUGCUAUAUGCCUGAACAUUUUAAUGAUGUAUUUCUGUUAA
Long non-coding RNA from Triticum dicoccoides, 2349 nucleotides. RefSeq lists it as uncharacterized. The transcript has 8 exons. Lineage: Eukaryota; Viridiplantae; Streptophyta; Magnoliopsida; Poales; Poaceae. The record is from RefSeq and is a predicted model, not a curated record.